This 81-nucleotide small RNA is filed under the name Flavobacterium hercynium. RNAcentral describes it as "Flavo-1 RNA". It matches the Rfam family "Flavo-1 RNA". Lineage: Bacteria; Pseudomonadati; Bacteroidota; Flavobacteriia; Flavobacteriales; Flavobacteriaceae. The record is from Rfam by way of RNAcentral.
UUUUAGCCCCGAUAGAAGUGGAAAUCCUUUUUGUUUUUAUUUUCAAAAACAAAAAGAUUGGAACGUAUAGCGGGAUUAGCU